AGUCCCGCCAGGCUGGGGACAAGGCACAGCAGCGUCCUCUCGGCCUCUCCCAGGCCCCAAUUCGACACAACCAUUCCCCGUCCCCAGCCCCCGGACGAGGAGGGGGUGCAGCCCCUCCACCCCGCCCCGUCGCCGCCCCUAGCCCGACCUUUUUGUCCCAGAUUUGCAGAGGCUUGCUGCCGAUGCUGUAGAGGAUGGAGAGGAAGCCGCUCUGGAACGUGUUUUUGAACAUCUCGCCGGCGGCCUUCUCCUAAGCCGCCCCCGGAGCCGACCUAGGCCCCGGAGUAGAUACAGGCACCGAGCGUCGAGGGCACAGCAGCAGGCCGGCCCUGUUCCGAAGAAGGGUGGUUGAGCUCCUGGCCUCCGGAUCUGCAGCCACUGAUGGCCGGACUCGGACGCGGCAACGCUAAGUCCGCGAUCUUCAGCUCCUAAGCUGCGAGCUCAGAACGGAAACCACAGCAACUACCGUCCGCGCCGCGGUAUUUCCCCGCCUUCAAUGGAGGCGGAGGGCCGCCCGUUGCUUAAAAUGAAUCCCUCCGCCCAUCUGAGCCCGCCCCCCGGGAGCGCGGGGCCCAAUCCCGUUACAAGGACCACGGACUUCCGUUUCGUUCCGCCUGUAAGUCCCGCCUGGUCCCGCCUCCUCCUGAAAAGAGCUCAGUUGUCAAGGAACUAUUUUUCUUGCCGUCGUCCCAGAGAUGCCUUUGGAAAAGCGGAAGGGCACGGAGGGUUCUGGAGUUCGUUGCUGGCACCUGCGUGGUGUCAUGAGAACGUGGCGGGGCGAUUCACACUACAAGGAAUACUAAAGGACGUUCUCCACAUUGAAGGAAAAUGAUCUAAAGAGAAACAGAUCUGUAAGAAGAAAUGAAGAGCACUGGUAAAGGUCCAGCAUAGCAAGUGGGUGGUGAGAUGCCGGCAGUGGAAUUCUAGAAGCAGUGCCUCCCAGAACAGCACUACAGUACUGAGGAAGGACUAUGCACCUGGGAAGCUGUCACACACACAAAAUCAUUUCAUGAAAACUUUCUUUGGGUAAAGGAAGGGUUCCACUGCGUAGUAUUUGAUUUGAGAAGGGCUGCAUGGUGCAUGAGGUUAAGAAAGAAAUGACUAUAUUUGCCUUUAAACACUUCAGCUGAUUCCAAGCACCCAACUUCAGAGGCUCAGUGAGAAGAAAGCACACUAAUUAAAGAAAGCACAUUAAUUAAAGAUACCACCACCUGCCAAAUAAUAGCAUGUGCUGCAAGGAAUGGGGCUAGGGAGAGUGUUUCACAAAUGCAGAGCACCAGGCCACAAGGUUAAAGUCAUGCACUAAAACAGUCAAUCCCAAGAGGCAGGUGUCUGAGUGGCGCGACUCAGAAGCAAGUACAUAAAAACGGAACACUCCCAACAGGACACCACUCUAGCCCCACUUCUGCCAAAGGAAAGUUUUCACAUCAAGGUGUAACACACAUCUUUGCAAUUCAAGGUUUAUCCCUCCCCUCUCCCCCAAAGAGACAGGAAAUACAAGUUAAGGUCCUCAUAGCAAUGGUUUGUCUCCCACUUGGGAAGGCUGGUUAUUGUCAACAUUUUUAUUUAAGAAAACAGGAUUUAACAUGGCAUUUUUCUUCCCUCUAAGGGCAGCAGCACAUAAAUCAUACAUCAGUCAUCCAGUGAUACAAAGAGGUGGCCAAUUGUGUCUGAAGUAGUCACUUGUAAAGGAUCACAACCCAGGCAGUGUUGCUUUUCUGCAAACAGAAGGAAACAGAAGGCUCCAUGGUCCUUGAAGAUUAUCCAAGUUUUCCACUAGUUGUCAAGAUUUCUGUCCCAACCUCUUAGUCACCAUUUACAGCAAGAAGAGCCAGCAAGUGAAAAACUGUUAAUUUAUUGAUUCAAAGUUGUUUUUUUUCUUUUUAAAAAACAAUCCCCAAUACAUGCAGUUCAGGGUUAAGUAUCACAUUUGUAGCACAUUGUUGAGUCUCAAAACAAAAAUAUGCAUCACCUGUAUAAUCCCAUCACAUCUUUUUCCAGCCUCUACAAUACCUAGUUGGGGGUGUUUUCAUUUAUACAUCCACAUAGCUCAGAAGCAUGUUAUUAACGGUUGAUCUGGCCCGAUGCUUCUCCGCCACCUCCCCUGCCCUGGUCUCCACCUCGGGGUUAUUUUUUUCUAAAGGCAGGAUGUUACUCAGUCUUAAUUUAUUAAGAUCACUGACAAACUUUGGCUUCUUGUGUGCUCAUGUGGUCCCUGCUUUUGCUUUCGGAAGGGUUUAUAUUGAAACGACUGUGACUCUGAUCGGUUAUUAUCCCCUCAUUUUUUGUAGGAAAUAAGUUUGCUUGUUUCUGUGGGUGCUCACACAGUAACACAGGUUCCUAAAGUAACCAUUUAAUCUGAACUGGUAUUAAAGGAAACUGUUAACCAGG
RNAcentral lists this long non-coding RNA (2391 nucleotides) under Homo sapiens (human). RNAcentral's name for it is "uncharacterized LOC101927556, transcript variant 1 (LOC101927556)". The record is from RNAcentral. Lineage: Eukaryota; Metazoa; Chordata; Mammalia; Primates; Hominidae.